GACGAACGCUGGCGGCGUGCUUAACACAUGCAAGUCGAACGGUGAAGCGCCUUCCUUUUUGGUGGGUGUGGAUGAGUGGCGAACGGGUGAGUAACACGUGAGUAACCUGCCCCCUUCUUCUGGAUAACCGCAUGAAAGUGUGGCUAAUACGGGAUAUUCUGGGUCUGUCGCAUGAUGGGUCUGGGAAAGAUAUUGUUUCGGUGGGGGAUGGGCUCGCGGCCUAUCAGCUUGUUGGUGGGGUGAUGGCCUACCAAGGCGGUGACGGGUAGCCGGCCUGAGAGGGUGGACGGUCACAAUGGGACUGAGACACGGCCCAGACUCCUACGGGAGGCAGCAGGGGGGAAUAUUGCACAAUGGGCGCAAGCCUGAUGCAGCGACGCCGCGUGAGGGAUGGAGGCCUUCGGGUUGUGAACCUCUUUCGCCAGUGAAGCAGGCCUGCCUCGUUUGUGGGUGGGUUGACGGUAGCUGGAUAAGAAGCGCCGGCUAACUACGUG
RNAcentral lists this ribosomal RNA (494 nucleotides) under uncultured bacterium. RNAcentral's name for it is "partial 16S ribosomal RNA". It matches the Rfam family "Bacterial small subunit ribosomal RNA", at positions 28 to 507 of the family's 1533-position model. The record is from RNAcentral.